This 406-nucleotide ribosomal RNA is filed under the name uncultured bacterium. RNAcentral describes it as "partial 16S ribosomal RNA". It matches the Rfam family "Bacterial small subunit ribosomal RNA", at positions 360 to 773 of the family's 1533-position model. The record is from RNAcentral.
AAUAUUGGACAAUAGGGGCAACCCUGAUCCAGCCAUGCCGCGUGAGCGAUGAAGGUCUNCGGAUCNUNAAGCUCUGUCCUUGGGGNCGAAGGUCUUCGGACUUGACGGUACCUAAGGAGGAAGCCCCGGCUAACUACGUGCCAGCAGCCGCGGUAAUACGUAGGGGACAAGCGUUGUCCGGAAUUAUUGGGCGUAAAGGGUGCGUAGGCGGCCUUUUAAGUCAGAUGUGAAAGCCCACGGCUUAACCGUGGGACUGCAUUUGAAACUGGAGGGCUUGAGUAUCGGAGAGGGUAGUGGAAUUCCCAGUGUAGCGGUGGAAUGCGUAGAUAUUGGGAGGAACACCAGUGGCGAAGGCGACUACCUGGACGAAAACUGACGCUGCGGCACGAAAGCUAGGGGAGCAAAC